UUAGGAUUUGAUUAAGGUUUGAUUAGGAUUUAGAAUUAAAUUAGGGUUUAGGAUUCAAUUUAGGAUUUUUUUAAGAUUUAAGAUUUAGGAUUUAGGAUUUUCUUAGGAUUUAGGAUUUGGCUUAGAAUUUGAUUGAAGUCCAUUAGGAUUUCAUCUAGGAUUAAAUUAGGACUUGAUUGAGAUUUAUUUAAGUUAUAUUUUUAUUAUUUUAAUAUUUCUUUAGGACUUCUAAGGAAAUUCUUUUAAGAUUUAUUGUGGAUUUCUUUCAAACACCUUUAAGAUUUUUUAUUGUUUCUUUUGUAAUUUCUUUAAGAUUUCUUUUAAAUUUAAUUAAAGCUUAUUUAGUAUUAUUAAGGUUUAAUUAGAUUUUAUUUAGAAUUCUAUUAGAAUUAAGAUUUUAUUAUUGUAAUUUCUAUUCUACUUUCUACAGCUAAGUGCCAAGUGCAUUCUUGAGUAAAACUUCACAUAAUAUGACAACAUCAUAAUACGCCUAUGCUGCGGGCUUUUGUAAUCCAAACAUUGAUGGUUCACCACAUCUUUUGAACAUUGCAAGCUCUAACGGGGUAACUUGAAUACAAUCAUUGCAAUCUUUUUUCUUGUUUAGGCCAACUUCAAUUGACCAACGCCACAACUUUGGUAUUAUGAUGUUUUGGCUCACAACAUUGCAAUUCCGUGCUCUAAUAUUUGUGCUCCACUACCACCUUGUGAUUGUCAAGCACCGUGACUCCGAGCUCUGACCAUGUGCUCUACUAUCACCUUACAGUUCUAUAUUGCAAUUCUAGUGUUGUCUUAUAACUUUGCCUUGCCAUUGUACAAUAUGUACUACCUCCAACAUCCAAUAUUUUUAUAUUUCAUACUAUACAAUAUUUGUGAUGAUUAAUGUGGCUAUAUAUAAUAGUGCAACAGUACAACCGAGCUAAAUUCCACUGCCUAGGAUAAUAGUGCUCAAAAUCCAAUAGUAAAAUAAGCCCAAAUUAUUUUUUAUUUUUUAUUUUUUUUAAUCUAUUUCAUUCUAACAUGCUUUAUGACAAAUUCAAGAAAAUGAGAAAUUCUUUUCAAGUGAAAGAUUAGAAAUCUACACCAAACUAAAUCAAGCUAUCUCUAAUACCACUAAAGGAGAAUCGAAGAGUGUAAGUGUGAAAAUAAAAAAUAAAAAAAUCCUAAAACUUUACUAAAAUGGCUAAAAUACCAUAAUCAAGCAAAUCCUUCCAAUAAGUUUUUACUCUCAAAAUCAUUCACAAGACUUCAUUGGAUAAGAAUGUCAAAUCAAGGAUUUUUUUCCAUUUAAAUACUUAAGUCAACUAAUAGAAAAACUAUCAAUGGAUGAAAAAUUACUAAUCAAAGUAAACUACAGACAUCUCAUGAGAUUUGACACCUAGUGCCAUAUCACGUGAUAAUUUAAUUUUUUAAAAUUGAAACAAUUAAUAAAAUAAUUUUUUUUAAAUAAAAUUUACAAACUUCUUUGAUACUAUUUUGUAUUUUUGACCACCAAUCAUAUCUAAGAAUAUGUAUCAUAUCAAUACAACAAGAAUAUCAUCUAAAAAUUCUAUCUUUUUAUUAUUAUUAAAAUUAAAAUUAUUAACUUUUAUAGUUGGUUUAAUUAAAAUAGAAAGUCUUUUAAGUUUUUUUAAUUAUUUUUUAAAAAAAUUAUUCAUGAUUAAUUAUUAAAUUUAAUUGCUUCAAGUUGAUGCAAUUAUUAAAAUUUACUUUUUAAUAGCAUGUAAGGUCAAUAAAGCAUCUUAAUAACAUCUUUAUUUGUUCACAAUUGCUUCAUGUUAAACCAAUGAUAUCUAUACCUCAAAUGUAUUACUUGCAAUCUUUAUCUUUCUAAUAGACUUUAAAAUCCUAAUAUUUUUAUAUUUUUGAUAGCAUAUAUGAAUCUAAGGACAUUUCUUUUAUAUUCUUAUAUCCAUAAAACUGUAAUUUCUUUAAAUUCUUAAUGCAUAUAAAGCUUGUGCAUAUAUUUCUUUUCAAUUUGGUAUAUAUAUACAUAUAUAUAUAUAUAUAUAUGUAUUAGAUAAUAUUAUUAAUGUGUAGAGCCAAAUCUAUACUCGCAAUAAAUUUGAGGGAGGUUAGAAGGAGAGGCAAGUAAAAGAAAUUUUUAUUUUUAACUUUGAAUGUAUUAGAUUUUUCUUUUUGGUAAUGAUGAUGUUCCAAGUCAAAUGCUCCUCGUGCAAAUUUGAAAGUCUCCUUCUUAGAUUUUAUUUCCUCAACUUCUUCUUUGGUGUCUUUCUCAUUUAAUUAUAUAGGUGAAUUUCUAAAAUAAUAUUUUGAGUAUAUAGUUUAUAUAUAUAUAUAUAUAUAUAUAUAUAUAUAUUCUUUAAAUUUUCAUAUAUUUCUAUAUAUAUAUUCUAAUGAUAUUUAUUUUUUUUAUUCUAAUAUAAAUUUUUAAGAUUUAAUAUUUUUUAUUAUUAUAUCUGAAAUUUUAAAUGCAUCAUAUUAGAUUCAGCAAUAAAUUAACUUAUUUUUUUAAUAUUUUUAGUGCAUAAAACCUAAGAAUAUUUUUAUUUUAUCUUAUUGGAUUAUUAUGACCUUUUUAAAGAAGUUGAAUCUUUAAUCACUUUAAUUGACAAGAUAGAUAUGAUAUUGUCAGACCUUUGUACUACCAUGUCACUUCAAAUGAAAUCUUUAGUUUUAAAUCAAAUUCUUCUUGCAUCUAUAAUAGUUUACAAGAAAUUUCAAAUUUAUAUGUUAUCAUUUGCAAAAAAAUACAUUACAAAUCAAUAUAUUCUUUACAAGCAUAGGCUCUAUAUACAAACUUUUAUUACAAUAUACAUGCCAUCAUGUUAAAGAAUUUAAUAGAUUUCACCUUAUACCUUUUGCAUAAACUUAGUAAAUAAUUUUUUAUUUUUUAUCCAUCUUAUAUUUUUAUAAAAAUCUUCUUUGGAAAUUCUUUAAUCCACUAUAUGGUAAUUAUAGAUGCUAAAUUUACAAAGUUGUCUACUUUGAUAAAUAACUCAUUUUUAAACCUCGACUAUAUUAGUAUCUUAGAAAUUGCAUUAGGAAGUGAUUACAAAAUCAUUAGUUCUUUCACAAAGCACCAAUGUUUUUUCAUUGAUUAGUUAGAUUAUUGCCACAACAAAUCUAUCACAACAAUUUAUUUUAGUUAAUAUGAACUUUCUAUAUAAUGUAAGAUAUAUUUGCACACAAUUGCAUGUUUUCCAACAAAUUAUCAAUAUUUUAACCCAAUUCUUUACUAAUUUUCUUGAGAAUGUUGUUAUGUAGAAAUCACUUAUUUUUAGUUGAGAUAUGCAUCAAAGUAUUGCAUCCAUUUAGAUUGACUCUUGAACAAAUAAUGUCAUAGAAUUGUUUUGAUAAAAAAAGAUCAAGAUUAUUAUUACAAAUAUUGGUAAAAAUUUAAAUGUAAGUUGCAAAAUUUGUGGUCUUUUACUAUUAUUUUAAAUAUAUAUAUAUAUAUAUAUAUAUAACCAUGUACUUUUCUAAAUAUUUCUAAUCCUUUGCAAUGAAAGAGGAUUUUUAAAAACUCAAAGAUAAUGUGUUACAAACGUUUUGAAAAUACAACUAUUUGACUUUGGUUGGAUGAGAUAGUUUUGUUAAACUGUUCAUGAAAAGAUUAUUAAAAGUUAGCAGGUGGUUAACAUGGUCAUUGAUAGCAUUCAAAAGUUAACAUGAGUCAUGUUUUGAACAACAUUCCCCAGGUUGCUUUAGCAUGGAUUGGUAUUGUGUACAUAUACAACAUCCUUGACUCACUUGGUAUCGCUGUUGUGCAGUCCUUGCAUUGCUCUCUUAAUAUCAAAUAGAUGCGACAUAUCGCCGGACCAGAUCUUUUGCCAUCUACAAGCCACGCUGCUUUAAGAAAUCAGUCAUCCCUCAUCACCAGCACCAAUUCCUUGUCUCACUCACACCUGCAAACAAAGAUCAAUAUGGAGGAAUCAAACUUGGGACUUAUCAGAAAGGAUUAUUUGAAGGCCUUGAAGUGUUACUCAGGCUACUGUAUCAGUAUUACUUACAUGCACAAGGUACAGGUGAUAGUUUUCGAUCAGUAGCUCUAGACUUGUUUGAGUAGCUGUAAAUGUGCUUCAUGUUUUCUUCAGCGCGGACAAACCAUUUCUUUAGGGACAUGGUUUUAUAGAGAUAUGGAAGAAGAAAGCAGUCCUGAAUUUCAAGCAGGAAAUCAGAUCCCCCCCCCCCCCCCAGACCCUUCUGAUUUUUAACAGCUAACGUUUAGUUGUAACCAUGAUACGCAUGAAGACUUCACUGAAUGAAUCAGUCCAUGAAGUCCAUACCCUUCGAUUGCUAUGGGACAAUGCGAAAUCACGUCAAUAAGAAUUGUCUCAGAAUCUCACUACCCAGCUCAGUGGACCAAUAUUAAGGCUGUAAUCAAAAUGGAAAUCAAAAAACCUUAUAAUCAGUUUUGCCCACGUUGUUCGGCAUAUGCAGGGAACACGAGGUUGAUAUCGCUUGAAAGCAGCAAGUUCACCAAAUACUUACGAAUCUUCUUCUUAUGUUGCAGAGUGAUCCGGUACGUAAGAUCUUUCUAGUAUCUUACCUAACUGCUCUUGAGUAUAGGUCUGAGUCGAAUCAAUCUGCAGGCAUUCCAUAAAAAUCAGCAUACAGAUGAGCAAAAACUCAAUAAAGUCAACAUCGUAAAUAAGAUAAAUGCAGAAUAAGAUCUAACUCCAUAGCACUUAAUCUUCCAUUUGUCUGCUGUCAGCGCACCUUGACAAUCACGACGUGAAGAAGCAUAUCCUUCAUGGAUGAAGUGUUUGAAUGUAUAACCUCUAAGCGUAGCUUUUCCAAUGCCGACAUCAUAUGAACUAUAAAGUUAGAGUGUCUUGUGCAAUAAACUCGAAUCAUAGCUUCUUCUCCAAGAACAAAAACACUAAUUACAGGUUUAUUUUCAGAAGUGUGAACAAGAGGUGCCGAUCUCUGACCACUCUCUUGAAGUCUGAAACGUUCUUCAUCAGAACUUUCGGUCGAAUCCCUGCGAGAUGGAUUAGGUUUUUUAGAUUCGCCAGUUGAUGCAAGCACUUGCCUUUGGAAAACCUUCAAUUCAGCCUCUGCUUUUUGUAGCUUUUCUUGAAGCUCAUUAAUGUAGGUAAUGGCAUCUUCUAAUAAGGAUGCCUUAUCCAUCUGUCAUAUAAGAAUACAGGGAUACAAAAAGCAGCCAUUACAUAAUGCCGAAGGAGCAAACCAUCGAUGCAACUAGCUUGCGAAGGUUAUAGUACGACAAAUAUUCUCAAAACAAAAACGAUUAAUAUUCUUUGUAGACAUAUACAUGUAAUGGGUUGCUGAUUGAAAAACGCAUAACUGAGAUGAACACAUUACCUUGGACACGUUUGGCACUACAGACCGUAGAGCAUAAAAUUUCUGAUUGAGUUUUUCUCGCCGCUGCCGUUCAGCUUGCACAUGAUUUAGUGGCUCUUCCCUAUCGUUUGCCGGCUUGCGCCCUCUUUUGCGUGGUUUAGGCUCGAGAUUUGUACUUGAUUCCACAACAUUUUCUUUGACGGAAACGUCGGCUUCUGAUUCAUGACAAUCUACCUCGGACGGAGCGAAACAUGGUAACCUAUUUGCAGUGGUAGGAGGUCCAGGCAUUCCUCUCUGACCUAUCUUAGAAAGGUGGUGGAAAGAUACUGACUUCCCUACAAUAUAUUUAUUAUCAACCAAGUUUGUUUCUGGAGUGUCCGAGCUCAAUUCUUCCACCCGUGGUUUGUAGAACCUCAUCGGGGGUCUUGACGAGGGUGGAUUCUUCCUUCCAACAAAAUGUGCUUCAUGAUCUUGACUUGGAUUUGAACAUCUGCCAAUCUGACUUGCAUUUGAAAUUGAAGCACUUAUUGUUGCUAUUGACAUAAGACUUGGGCUUGACGGUCGCAUACUAGUCGCGUCGCUACUCAAAGGCAAGGAAUGCGCCACCGCUUGGAUUUCAUGGGCUGCCCACAUCAUUGGUUCAUCAAAAACCAUCUUGACAUUCUGAACAACUUCCCAGCUUUCUCUGAUCUACCAAGGCCAAAUGUAAUGUUGUUUAACGACAUGAGUAAGAUCUCAUUGAAUCUCUGUAAUUACUAGCAUAAUUUCAACGAGCACAUAGUGAAUCGAUAUCAGUCACACUCAAAUAACUUGAUAAAUGUCUCUUGUGCUGAUGCACAACCAAAAUGUCAAAUCAAAUUAAUUUGGAGAGAUUCAUCGUUAGAUACUUGCCAGAUCUGUCGAUCCAAGCUCAACGACACCAGAUUUCGACGGAAUACAAAGGAUUGUCUGAAGGAUCAUCUCACAAAAGUGAAGUUAACACGUGACCUCGUUUGUGAUCCAUGUACCAAUCCGAGAGUAGAUUAAUUCCUUCACUAGCAAAGCCUCGUAACGCACAAUGCAAUUCUAAGAACUUGCCGUGAGAUAAAUGCAGAGCUACAUACAAACAGUCGGUAUCAAUAACUCAUGUUCAAAGACUUGGUAUCAUUUCGAACUCAAUAACAAAAUAGUGGUAGGAAACUUGAAUGUAUGUACCUGAAUUCCAGCCAUCUGUCCUUGGUAAAGCACCAGAUGUGAAUUCAUGCCAUCAAACAGCAAUUAGUCAGUUCACAAUUCUCGCUCCUACCUCACUCCAAUCAGAAUUUCAAUGACUCCCAUUGAAUGUAAUAGUAUAAUUGCAAGUUCAAUUUAAACUUUCAGAACGAGCUUGAGUUUUAACACUUGCAGCUUCAGAUAUUCCACAAUUCUCCACAUUAUUAACAAGCAUUGACAGCAGACUGAACGUUUGCAAGCAUCUGAGGACAACUCAAGGUAAAAAAAAAUAGAUCUUUUGAUGAUAAGGUGGAUUGGUUCAUUUCUAAAACUAAAAUGCGCAAAUUAUAUAUUGUAUGAUUACAUGUUAUUUUAUAAGUUCUUGAAAUUAAUUUAAAAUCAGUCGAAAUCACAAAAAAUAACAGAAGGAAAGUAUUACAUAUGUUUAGAAGUUGAAUAUAAAGGUCAUGAGUUUCAAUAUCAAAAUAUAAAAUUUCUUAUUAAAUAUGCAAGUCUUCAUUUUAAACCUUAAUUAAAUACUUUUACGAAUCACGAAUCCUGAAAAUUUAUUCUGUUGUAGCAAUUUCGCAUCCAAAAAUAUGUAUAUAUUAAAAAUUACAUUGUAUAAACCAAUUCCAAAUGCAAAUGAAAUUCGGUUAGUUUUUCGAAAUAAGUCGAAGUUAAAUGUUGAUUUUAGUUUUAGAAUCUGAUUCCAUUCAGGGAUUCCUUAGAUAUUUGUCAAAAUCAAUUACUUUUAUAAUGUUGUGCUUCCACUCCGGUCUUUCAUGGGGACAGUGCAACGUACAGCACAAAGUAGUCUCAUAAAUAACAGUUGAUCUCAAAGAAGAUUCUUUCACACAUGGGAGAGAGUGUUCCCAUUUUUAGCAACUUUGCAGGGAUUCUUUUUUUGAAUCGAUGGAACCACAAGGUCAUUUUCUAGCAUAAACAUGGGAACUUACAAAAAUUUCAACAUCUCGACCACCCGCAUUGUUCGUUCUGAAUGGCAAACAAGGAUUCAAAGUAACUGGCAAGUAAACUGAACUGUGUACCUUAGCCAAUUGAACACGACUGCAGUUAUUAUCAGGAGCUUUGUUCGCUCCAAUUAGCCACACAGGUCUGUCAGAUGCUAAUGCUCGUCCAGGAGUCCUGCAUGAAACGUAAUUUGUGUGAGACAAACCUAUGAAUAACUUCCUGCUCUACAGAAUGACCCAAAAUCCUGGAGCCUGUAAAGUGAACACAAAUAAAAAAAUUCGAAUGAGGACUCCAGUGUAACUCAGCAACCAUGCAGCAUUUCAAAGCGUUGAAGCGUGAAAAGUUUAAAUACCCCACUCCGGCUGCAUAAGAAUGAGACAUCGAAACAAGGUAAAACCAUUCCGUAUCCGUGACAUAGUCGCUAACAUCAUCUUCAGAGCCAUUGACUAGAGCCUGCAGCUCUCGCAACACCUUUCGCCUCAUCUGUUGAUCCUCCUCUUGAGAACCACCCUUCAUGUUCCUCGCGUCGUUGAUUUCAUUCUCCUUAGCACUCCUGAAGUACCCAUCACCCCAACCGAGCAUCCUACAAACAAUAUCAUAGAUUCAGGAUCAAGUGUAUAUGAGACCAAUUGGCAAGUUCAGGAGAAUCUAGCUAGCAAUGACUGCCUUGAGGUACCACGAUACAGGCUGCCCCAUGAUACAGGAUGCUGACUACAAACUUUAACAUCGCCAAACCUCGAGCCUGAAACAUUGGUAGCGACUCUAACCUUGCAUCAACGAAUGUUCUUUCGUUAGAUUGAAUCUAGUAGACAACGUGUAGGGCGUCUUUUCUCCAAGAACCAGGAAAAAUUCGUCAACUACUACCGCGUUGCAAAAGGUGUUCAAAGAAUGAUAGAUUAUCGGGAAUAUUCUAGAAAAUGAGGGUUGUUGCUUCUGAUUGUCAGCACUCAGCGAGUGCGUAGAUCGAGCGAGAAGUCAGUCUGAAAGUUCCCCGUCAUAAAGGAUGUUCGAGAUGGUAAAGUUUUAAAAAAGCGUUCGGAACACACUCACACAUUGUUGAGUGUUCUAGACGCGUUACACGUCCGGGAACCGAGAUUGACAAGAUAGUCCAUUUGGUGAAAUGGACGAUGUAAAGCCUGAUCGGAGCUGCUGAUAAACAAACCUUGUCAGGGUGCAUUACAACGAUUUUGCGCUUCCAAAGUCGAGAGGAAGCAUCCGAACGAAGGUAGAAAAAACUAUUAAGAAUUUCUUUCGACUCCGUUACAGUCGAACUGGUCACGCAAAGCAUCGUACGUCUUCGAGAUGAAUACGUCAAAUUCUUACCAAGAAAAAACUAGAGUCUCGGAUAAUCGAUGCCUGUGUCUUUAUGCUGCAUUGCGUUCUACAAAUUCUACGUCUUUGCUAAGUUUCCAAACCGAAAAGGUCCAUGACAUAAUUGUUUCAUAUGUAAUAACUUUAAAGCUCAAUUACAAGCUAUAAUGAAGUCAAAAGAAAUAGCUGACAAAAAUGUAAAUUCAAUGGAUAAGAUCCAUUUCCCUUACAUCUCCCCUUCACGUAAGGCUGACAGCUGCCAAAAGAUUGCAUACGUCCAAUCCACGGUACUCUCUUCGACCAGCGAGUGCAGCCUCCGCAGCAACACCGACUCGUUCAAGUGGAGCUGCCCGUCCGGAUCAUCCUGCACUUCGAAGCCUUCCACGCAGUUAUACCCCGUUCCCAUGAACGCCUCGAUCAUAGCUGAGUCCGCUACUUCCCACGCAUUCAAUAACUGCGACAUUUCCAUUUCCGCGCGUCCCCUAACCCCCUCCUCCAACCGAUCGAUCCUCAACACCGACUCCAACAACAAACACCUGCAGCACGCUCACAGUCCACUUUCAUGCAUCGACUCUACCUCUCACGUCGCUCAUCUGCUUCAGCCAUAAUCGUGGCUUCUGUGAGACGAUUCCUCCUUCCUGCCCUGGAUUCCCAUCCAUAUUUCUCCGCCAACAAAAUCUCAAACCACAAGCGCACAAGCAGCUCAUUACCGUUCAUCACAGACAACACUCCAAGGAUGCAUCUCCACCACCUCUUCUCUCUCGCUCCCUCUCUCGCGCCCGCGCGCGACCGCGCGAUUUCGCUCGUUCUAACAACCCUUCAAAAACCCAAACCUACGCCCAAACUCCACUUCACAAUCCCGCCUCCGCCCCCGCUCUCGUCCAAACUCUUCGAAGCUUCUUCAAUCUAGAAUGACGACGUAGCGCACAUUCCUUCAAACAUCGUACCAACUCGUUGACAACACCACAAGGCGGGCCUGCAUCCCACGUCCUACGGGGACCACGUGACGCACGACAUGACGUCGGGGUCACGUCACAAUGAACGCAAACCAGGGAAAAAAAAAACGUCCGGCGCCACUUCUGCCGUGUCGUCAGUGCCAUGGCCAUGGCCCCUACCAGUAGUACCAGUACCUUUUUCACCCUCCAGUACCACCACCAGCGGGUCCCUGCGCCGCUGCUGCGACUUUUGUGCCUCUCCCCCUCGCUCCUCCGAUCGGGGUUUCCCCGGUGCCGUGACACUUCCGAAACCAAGCAACGCAGGGUUGAAGGCUGCUUCGUUCACUCCCGUCCGAUCCUUCUCCCUCUCUCCCUCCGUCCCAGCUACGCCAACGUCGCUACUCCAGCGCCACAAUGUGCAUGGUCGGAUCCAUCAUCAUCGCCGUCGCCAUUCCGAUGGAAACGUCGCGACAACGGACUGGAACCAUCGCCUCCGACGAUCCUCCACAGGUAAAAGAUUCCCUGCUGCUCUGCUGCGUCUCGUUUGGAUCCCCAUUAGGGUUUCGUUUCGCCCCUCGUCGCCUUGCCAAUUCCAUAUAGAAUCGACGCUGGCUUUUGAACUCCGCUCCCACCUUCCCCAAAAUUCCAUCUCGGAUUGUGCACGAGAUCUUGCAUUGUUUGAAAUUCUUUGCCUAAUUCCAGACUUUUUAACGUCAAAUAUUUUGGCCUUGCCAUGUGUUUGAGAAAUCUUGUAGUCUAACUUUAACCAUAAACUUCUGUGCAUGAUUUUUUGUCGCAUGAUUUUCUAAACGAUGUUUUUAAUUUACACAAUUGACAAUGUUUCUUAAAACUCAUUAAAUAAAAAUAAAAAAAGUAUUGCUACUUGACAUAUUACAUUACAUGAAAGUACAUGAGUUUUAUAUAAAUAUAUAUAUAUAUAUAUAUAUAUAUUUAUUUAUUUAAACAUGAAGAUAUAAUCGUAAUGGCAUAUUUUUUUGUAUACAAAUCAUAGCAAUUACUUAAAAAAUAUUGUUCACAUUUUUCUAAAAUUCAAGUCAUAAUACUUUGAUAAUCUUAUUUCAAUUAUUCUGUUACCAUUUUGUGUAUACAUUUAUACACAUUGGGAAAUAAAAAAACGUACUAAACAUACAAGGGAAUAAAAUUUGUCAGAAUAGAUUAUUAAAGAAGAGAGUACUUACACCACUCACCCACCCAAUAUAGGACAAAAGUAUCUUUUAAAUAUGAUUAUUAUGAAAUGAGAAGUUUAAUUUUAGUAUGAAUUUUAGUAUUAGUUCAUUAUUCGUUUUGUCAUUGAAAUCCAUGGCCACCCAAUCCUCCGAAGUCAUAUUUUGUGGGAAUUGACCCACAAACUUGUCAGACAGACAAAUGAGGACCCUCCUCAACCGAGAUAGAGAGAAUGAACGCCACUAGGGUUCCGAACUCUGCCACAUGCCGUCGUCACCGAUCACGUCCUCCAAAUCACCUCAGGACCCAGUAAUAUCAUGGCAGAUACUUCGGCAGCCCACAUCCAAUUGAUGAAUGUGAGACACGACGGAUGAAUUACUAAUAUACUUCAUCUGUAUGUGAGCAUUCAUCAAUUUGUUCGUUCAUAUAUUCAUUCAUUCAUCCAUGUGCAGUGUUUCCAGAUCGCGAGUCCCUUUAACUCUUGAAACUCCACCGCGUUAUACGAAACUCACCUCUCUUGGUUCAAGAAGAGAUUUUUUGGAGUUUGCAUAAAUUUAAUUUAGAAAAUUUAAUUCUAAUGCCAUGAAGAAUAAUUUAAGUCCGUGAUCAUGCUGAAUAAUUAUUUCAAUGCAUCAUUUUCUUUUUCUUUUUAAAUCACUUUUAUGUCAUAUUGAACAUGCAUGAACUUAAGAACAUGUCACGAAUGACUUCUAAACUUCUACAAAAUUAAAUAUAUUUGGGUGUCACAUUAUUUUUGAAAUUGCAAAUUUUAAUAUUUUUCAAGAUUUUCAAUGACUACUUUGAUUUAAGUUCUUAAAUCCUUUUUAACAUAGUUUCUAUUUGAAAUCUUCCUUUGUAUACUUUUUUACUAAUAUUAUAUUUUUGGCUUUGAAUCAAAUUACUAAAAUGAUGCCUUUUUUUUUCCAAAAUCCAAUGUCUUAGACAUCGAGACAUAAAAGUGUUACAUAUUUUUAAAACUAAUUACAAAAAUAUAAUGUUAUUUCAUAACUAUAAAGUAAAAUUAAUUAAGAUUGAAGACGAAUUUUUUUUGAUGAGGAUGAUGAAGAAGUUAGAAAACUUGGCAUUCUGAAUAAAGUUAGGAUCUGAAUGAAUAGAAGUAUUAACCCAUUUUAAUUGGUAACCUCUAUUUUAAUUAAAUGCAUAAGUACUUAGUGAAAAAAUUCUUCAAGUCAAAUAUAGUUUUGUAAGAUACAGUAAAAUCAAACAAGUUUAUAGCUGUGUGUGUAUGUAUGUAUGUAUAUAUAUAUAUAUAUAUAUAUCCAACAGAAAGUUAUUAAAAUAUGUGUUUUAGGUAUUCUGGUCAGAAUUUAAAUUAAAUCCACUUUCUCCAUUAAUUUUUCUUAAAUACCUAUUAAAUAAGCAUUUUUAUCAUUUAUAGUCAUGUUUCUCAAUAGAAAUUACUAAGUUUUUCUAGUUUUUACUAUGUAUUUUAUUGAUUUCUUUUUCUAUCAUGAUAUUUUUUAGUUUCAAAGUUGUAAUUAUUUACCUUCACAAUAUUUUCUGAAAUUACACAACUUUCAAAUGAACUGAUUAUAAUGACUGACUCUACUGGCGUUAUUUUAUUAGUAAUUUGUUUUAAAUUCUGUCUCUAUAUUGAUUAUAUUUUUAAAACUAUAUGUGGAUAACUACUUUAUUGAAUGUAUGUAUGUGUUUCUAUACAUAUAUAUAUAUAUAUAUAUAUUGAAUAGUCUAUAUUUAGUGAAUUUAACAGGAAUAUCAACUUCAAUAAUGUCAUGAGAUAAGACAAAUGAAUAAUUGAGAUACACAUAAUACAUCAUGUAACCAGAACAUCACACUUCUGCAAUAGUCUCAAACCAGGAUGUCAUCUGUAGAAAAUCUCUUACCCAGUAAAAAAAAAUUAUAUUUUCUUUUAUGAUCCUUUAUGUAAUGUAUAUAACUAAUCACAAAAAAUAUGAUAUGUACAACCUAAGAAUUUUAAGCUUUCAUCUAUCUUAUCUUUCUGCAUGUACAGUUAAAACCAAUGUUUUUUUUAGAAUUUAUAUGACCAAUUUUUCUUUUAAAAUGAAAUGAUGGAAUCAAAGAAUAAAAAUAUAUUUCCAUAAAUAAUACCACAUGCCUUAUUCCAGACAUAAUGCUGCAGUCAUUGCAAAAAGUCACAACAAGUGGCUUGCUGUAUUAAUAUUUUGGGGCUAGAAAAUCCAACAAGAAUUUAAUUUAUCCUUUCUAACAACCACACCAAUUAUUUGGAAGAGUCAAGUGGAUAUGCAUCACAAAGAUUCUUUACCUUGGACCAAGUAUAGGAGACUCAUUUUUUAUCUCUUAUUUAUUUGCAAAACCCAAUUACAUAUAUAUAUAUAUAUAUAUAUAUAUAUAUGUUUUUAAUUUAAUGUUAUUCAUAAGGUUGUUUACACUUUGAUGAGAGAUCUACUUAAGGUUUUGGUGUACAGUAACAACCAUAGGCUAUAAAAGUAAGCUAAUUUGAAGAAGUUGUACCCGUCAUUCCAUGUGCCCAUGCAGAUAUGUAUUUAAAAAAUAUAAUUCUAUUUUAUUAUUACUUGGUCUCAAAUGGUCUAAUGGUCAGCAAUGGGCUUGUGAAUGGAUGUGUGGCAAGAAUGUCCACAUGUUUGACCAAUUCCAUUCUUUUCUUUUUAUCAUGACUUAGUGCCCUCAAAACUCCAUUCAAUCACACACACAUAUAUAUAUAUAUAUAUAUAUGUGUGUGUGUGUGUAUGUGUGUAUGUGGGGAAGUGUGUGAGAGGUCAUUCUAGAAUAAAGGUUUUAGAUAAUUUAUUGUUUUGAUAAAGGUUUGGUGGAACUCUCAUUCUUGAUCUCUUGCUCAUCAAAGUCCUACUUGGACCAACAAUCAUUCUUACACUUAUAUGAUUGUGUGUAUUAAAUAAUCUUCAAUCAGUAUAAGAAGAAUUAGUAGAAAAAUAUUCCAUAAUAAUAAUUAUAAUAAAAUGUAUAAGAUAAUUGUAAUUGUUACUGUAAACAUAAAAUAAAAUAAACUCAUACUUAUUUAAUUAAAAUGUAUUUGCUUUGUUAUAAUAUAUUAAAUUACAUGGGAUAGAGCUUGUUGUUCAAGCCAUGUUUUGUUUAUGCUCUGUGUACCAUCUUCAUUGCUUUGAAACAUUUUAUAGUUGUAUGGUGUUGACAAAAUAUAAUCAUGAAUGUGUAUACUAAUAUAAUAAUAAUAAUAAAAAACAAAAACAAAUCACACAAAAAAUGGCAUGGAUAAAAUUAGAUUAAAAAUUUUAUGAAAAAAACUUGGCUCUACAGGAAGGAAAAAAAGAAAAAAAGAAAAAACUUGAAAUCAAUUUUUUGUAUUUUACAAAUUACAAAAAUAUGUUUGAAGUCAAGUUUGUGUAACAUGGUUAUGAUGAUGGAUAAAUUAUACUUAUAUAUAUAUAUAUAUAUAUAUAAAUCCUUCAAUUCACCUUAAUAUGAAUUGCAGUGUGCAACUUAAACAUUAAUAUUUUGGAGAUUUUGGACAGAUUACUACAAAACAUAACAAGCGUAAAAUUGGUGAAGUUUUAUUGAAUCAUUAGCCCCUGCAAAAUUUUCAAGCCUCAAUCCAACAUAGAGUGUGUUAAAUAAUACUAAAUGUAUUCCAAAAUCAAGCCAAAAAAUCACAGUAUUUUCUGGUAAAAUUGACCAACAGUGAUGCUCAAGCUUAAUUUUUUAUUGUAUUUGAUUUCUAUUUAUUUAAUGAUUCUACAUUUGUCUCCUUCAAUUUAUUUUAUUUUAUUUUGGAGGGUAGCCUUGAGUGUUUCUUCAAUGCUUUUGAGUUGCAUAUAUAUCAUGCCUUGUGUCAUACUAGAUAGUAAGCCUUGUUUAAACCAUGAGGUUUGGAUGGAGUUAUGGAGAAUAGUGUCAAGUUUUUCUACAUGAUCUGUAAAUUGGUCUAAAUAAUCUUCCACUGUCUCAUGACUUGCUUUUUUGAUUUUUAAUAACUCCAAUACAAUGUUGUCAUUGGUUUUCAUGCACUAGAAACUUUUUACUAAGCUUAGUUCAAAGUCUUCUCAAGUAGCCUUGGAAUGCCUAUAGAUAAAUGAUAAAAACCAUGGUUGAACAAUACUUAAGGCAAGCCAACUACCGCAACUAUAGAAUUGGACAAAGAAAUCAAAUGCAAUACAAUCUAUCAACAAUGCAACAAAAGACUGAGCAAUUGAUACCUAUAAUUUGGUCCAUGUUUUGAAUAUGGAAGAAAUUAUUGAAUCAACCACUAUGCUCAUAUACGACAAUUAUAGACAAAGUAUCAAAAUUAAGAAAAUAUGCAUCGUGGAAGAAUAACCACUACAAAUACCAAAGAGCCAUAUUUUUUGACAAUCUCAAUAAUACAAGUCAAAUAUGCCAUAAUAAAUACUUGGACUAACUAGCACCAAUCCAAAGUACCUACAAAAGUGGAAUAAAAAUCUUGCCUCUUAUAUAUUAUAGAACAUUCUGAAUUGCUUAAGAAUAUUUGCAAACAAAUAUAAUAGGAACUACAUAUGGAUAAGGCUAUAACGCUACUUGACGCUAAUAAAAUCGCAAUUGGAAAUAUACUCAACAAUAUUGUAGUUACAAUUUGAUUUAUUCAAUUAUUCAAAUUGAACCUUGAAAUAUUGAUAUAUCUAGAAUACAAGGCACGUUCCAAACUAUUAGUGCAAGUGGUUGCAAACUUAAACACCAUAGCCAUAGAUCCUGAUGCCAUAGUUAUUAAGUUUUGUAUUAAAAAAGCAUCAACUAAAUAACAUACUUGUGGAUAGAAGAUCUAGCAUUAAUAUCAUGAUAAAUCACAUCUACAAAUUCUUUGAACUUUUUAAUUUAAAGUAGCUUUAUUUAUACUCCACAUAGAAAAUAAUGCUUCAAUUAAGCUCCUCAAGAUAUUACAAAUUGUAACUAUCACUAUUUAAGAGAUCCAUGCACUAGUUGCAUUUUUAAUAAUUGAGAUGCCCAACAAAAGCCACUUUCUGGUCAUCUUAGAAAUAUUGUAGUGAUGAAAUAUGAACAGAUUUCAUAAUUCGUUUAGCAACAAAAUCACUAUUUAUUUUUAAUAUUAAUAUGUGAGUAUUUAUAUCAAUAGCUAUGCAACUUGAGAAAAAUCCUUGACAAUUAGACAAAUCAUGAGUAAUGACUAAACCUCUAAACUAGGCACAGAUGAAGAAGAGUUUGUAUUUGGACUUGGAUCCUACUCGGUUCCUUGAUACAAAAAUAAACCUUGCAGCCAUAAUAAACAAAAAAUAAUUAAAUACAUCCAUAAAAUUCAUUCUCAAACUUCAACAUGAGUCUUUCAUUAAUAAAUAGUUAAUAUAUAUUAAAUCUAAAGAAAAAAUGAUUAUAUGUUAGUUGUAUAAUUCAAAAGAUAAAAUAGAACUUGUUAAUCUUGGAAUAUCUUUGGAACCCAAAUUUGUCAAAAUAAAUGCGAAUGCAUCUAACAACAUAAAAACUACUACAAUUAUAUUAUUUUGUAAAUAUUAGAAUAUAUUUUCUUAGUCAUAUAAAGAUUUAAAGAUAAUAUUUUCAGAGAUAACAGAGCAUCAAAUUGAUCUUGUUCCAAAUGCCACCUCAAUUUCAAAUAGGCAAUAUCAAAUAAAUUCCAACUAUGUGCAAAUUAUGAAAUAGGGGCUAGACAAAUUCAUAUAAGCCAAAUUUAUUUUAUCCAUGGAUUUUAUUCUAUAGUUGUCACCUAUGGUAAUCAUUCCAAAAAUAUUAUGAACUCUAUAAAUUUGUGUGGAUUUUUAAAGAUUAAAUGCUUCUAUAAAAAAAUGAUCAUUAUUUCUUCUCAUAUAUGGAAGAAAUCAUUGAAGAUGUAGUAGGUCUUAAGAUAUAUAGCUUCAUCAAUUUUUCUUUAGAAUUCUACUCGCUAGCCAUAGCACUAUAGGAUAAAAAUAAAAUGGUUUUUUUUUACAAAAUAGAGACCAUUCUAAAUUGAACAAUUUUUUUUGGUGCAAAAAAUGUACCAAUGAUGUUUCAACGCAUGAUAGAAUUUGUAUUAAAAUCAUAUUUCAAAAACAUCUUUUGAAUAUACCUCAAUGAUAGAACUAUCUAUGGAUCUAUGAAAAAACAUAUCCAAUAUCUACAACAAAUCUUUAAAGUCUAUCAAAAAUACACCAUUAGCCUCAACAUGGAUAAAUGAAUGUUUUUAUUUUUUUCAAGGCUCAUAUUUAAGUAUAUCCUCUAUUAUUUGGAUAAGUUGCUAAAUCUUAAGAAAAUCAAAGAAAUAUAAAACAUGUUCAAAUCUUACAAUCAAAGAAUUAUACAAAGUAUACUUGAAAUUGUUUAAUUCUAUAAGACUUUUAUCAAAAUUUUGGCUUAUAUAUCUCACCUAUAUUUAAUUUUAAUAAAUUCAAGUAUAAAUACAAGCUUCAUUAGAAUGCUGCAGCUGCUAAAGCUUUUAAGGAAGUCAAGAAGAUUCAAGAAGAAGAAAUAGGUAGAAGAAUUAAACAAAAGGAAUUUAGAACAAGUAAGAAAAAAGAAGAAAAGAAGAAAAGAAAAGACCAACAAGUUCAAAUCAUAAUCCAAGGUGAAUAUAUUUUUAACAAAAAUUAUUUAGUUUCAAUUUUAUUUUAUUAAUACAGAUUGUGGAUUGAAAAAAAGGAGAAUGGCUUAGCAAAAUUAGGUGGGUUUCAAACUAGAGCUCUUUAAUUUUAUUUGAAAUUUUAGAUAAGCAAGGAAGGAAUACGGCUUGGCAAAAUUAGGUCGGUUUCAAAUUCUAGCUCUUUAUUUUUAUUUCAUAUUUUAGGUACAUUUAGAAAGGAGCAUGGCGGGACUUGCUAUCUUCAGAUAUUUUCUAAACCCCUUCUAUCUUCUUCUAGUGUAAGUAGACAAAAUCCAUUACAUGACCCAAGAAUUUCUCUACUCCACCUCUUUUUGUAAAAAGAACUUGGUGUGUUGUUGAUAGGUGUUAUUUCAAUUUAUAGUUGUUUUGUAGAAAGUGAAGUCGAGUUAAUAGCCAACAUGACUUUCUUUUGUUGAGCUUAUACUUGUCGGACGUGAUGACCCCUAUGAGACAAAGUUGAAAGUAACAAGUUUUCCUACAUGUUGUCCUUUUUCCGGUCCAUCUAAUUUUUAUAGUAUCCACGUGAUAAAAUUUUAAAUUACUUAUACUCUCCUUGGCUUCAUUUUUUAAUUUCUAAAUUGUAAAUCAAGUCCAAUUAACGGAUGACACCACCAUAUUAAGAUUGGCACAAGAUCUUAACUUGGUAUUUAGUUGGACCUUGUGCAUCACUUGUGAGAAAGGUUCAAUUAUUGAGUGAGAUCACUAAUUUGAGAUCAGUACAAGAUUUAAUCUUAGUAUAUAAUUAAAUUAUAUAUUUUAUAAAUAGAUAAGAAGAAAAAGGAUUUUAUGUUAUUUCACAAAAUAAAAUAAAAAUAAUUUAAAGUUUACUUGUUUUAUUUUUAAUCACCUAUUAGGUCUUUUAUCUUAAAAGAUUCAUUGAAGAGCCAUAUACUUAGUUGUAUGCCACCUAGAAUUGAAUCUAAGAUAGUUAAUCCUUUUUCUACUCGCCUUGUUUUGCGAUCUGGAUGCAUUCUACAAUCUAGAUCAUAUAUUCAGCUUAUAGUUUUAGAAAUCCAUGCAUUAAAAGAACUUUGUGAUAAGAUUUCACAAGCUUCUAUCAAGAUGGAGCAUGGUAGAGGGCAUUCUUCAGAGCUUCAAGUAGAGCCUUUACUAUUUCCAACUCAAAGGGCUAAUAUAGCCAAUGAAGAUAACUACAACUUCGAAGCCAAUACCCAAAUCGAUCCAAUGAUGUUACUUAGGAGAUUACCAAUUGUAGUAUCUUUAAGAUUACAAAGGGCAUCAAUUCCAUCCAACCUCCCAAAAUUUAGUAGAUCUAUCAAUGAAGACCCGACAGCCCAUAUAGAAAGGUUUGUAAAAGUACUUAUUACUAGUUUAGUAACUAAUCAUGGCUACUAUUUAAUAUGGUUUCGAACAACCUUGAUAGAUUUUACAUAUGCUUGAUAUAGAUUCCAUAUAAAAGGAGUAUUUACUAAAUAAAAACAACUUCUAGCAGUAUUUCUUCCUCAAUAUAGGUUCGUAAUUGGCCAACAACAAGUUCUUUCAGCCUUGAUAACUAUUAGACAAGGUCCUUCAGAAAAUAUUAAUUCUUAUAUUAGGUAAUUUCAAAUAGUAUGUACUUGAUAUAUUGACAAAUUUUUAAAUAAAAAUAUUAUAAGGUAUUACUUUAUUCAAGGUUUUGCCAUGCCUUCUAUAAUUUGGGAUAUCCUAAACAAAAGACCUAAAGAUUUAGAAGGAGCCAUUUAAGCCACUUUGGAAGUAGAGGUUAUUGAUAAGAAAAAUGAUUGUAUGCUUCGAAGAUCGGAAGAACCAAUACCCUCCUUUAUGCCUUUGUAACAUUGACCUACAGAAUUCCAUCAACCUCUAGCUUUAAGCUACUCACAACCUUUUAUUUUUUCCUUACCAAUUAGCAAUCCAAUACCUUUAGUUAUACAACCUCUACAUGAUCAAGUUCAAACUAAGACCUUUUAUAAUACUAGAUUAGAAGAAUUUAAAAGUGAAGUAAGGCAAAUCAAUGAGAUGUUCAAAAAUGAGAUGAUGAACAUUAUGAAAGCUAUUAGUGAACAAAUGUCUUGCCUUGUUGAAAAUCAAACUCCAACUAUAGAACUUAUAUACCACGAAUUGGAAAGUUAUACUUCUGGAUUAUGAAGUAUAAACUUUAAACAAAUCAAUCACACUACUCAAUUUUGUCCUUAGUUUUUACAACAACCACUUAUAGAAAAGAAUCAAUUCCAACCUUAUAGAUUUUCUCACCAUUCAAAAUAAGUAGGUCUUAGUCUUCUUUCCAAUUAAAGGAAUAAUACAACACCUUAUCUUACUUGUGAAAAACCACAUCAGGUAGGUCAAUGUUGGAUUGAGAAUGAAAUUAUAUGUUCAAAUUGUGGAAGUUUUCAUCCUACAGAUCGUUGUAGAAGAUCCAACCAAGUUAAUUCCUCAACUUCUUCUUCAAGUGAUUAUAAUAACCAUAUCAGAGGGAAUAUAGAAGGAGUUAGAUUUGUAAAUCCUAUUGUUACAAAAAAUCCAUCAAACAUAUAUUAUAAUCUUUGAAGCAAUGGUCAACACCAUCAUCUUCUAAUAAUAGUUAAAAUUGAUCAAAGAAUAUUACAAGCAUCUGUAGCAUAUACUCAAAACCAAAACCAAAAUCAAUAGCCACAUUUUUUUCAAUAUGUUAGAUAUACAGUGGCUCAACCUAAUGUACCUAUUACAUCAAUCUUACCAUCUCUUCAAUUCAACUUGGUCCAACUAAACAAAAAUGAGAUCUUCAAGAAUAAUGUAUAUUUACCUUCUCUAAUUAUAAUUAGAAGUAUGAGUGCCAAAAAACCAAUAGAUUUAGCACCUCUUGAAGAUGAUGAAAUAUCUUAAGAUACUUCAGAAGAAUCACUUAAGUUUAUAGAAUUGACAAAAAUUAUUCAAAAGGUAGCUAAACAACUAAAACACGACCAAUCAUCUUCUUGGAUUGAAUCUAAUGAAGAAGAAUAUUGAUUUGUGGACAAAGAAGGAUCUUGGACUUCUAAUAUCUUAUUGAAACAUCCAACAAUUAUUAGAACCUUCAAUCCUACAGAAUCAUAUGAUUUAUGGAAAGACCUUUGUAAGGCUAGAGCCAAUAUUUUUUUUAGUCAAUUAGUUCAAGUAGCACCAAUCAUCAAAAAAGACCUCAAAGAAGUUAUAAUUAUAAGAAGUUAUAAUUAUAAGAAAAAUAAAAAAUAUAGAAGGAAUAGCUAGAUUUGAAGUUAGAGAUUUAGAAGGAGAUAUUAUCUCGGAAGAAGAAAAAGAUAAUAGAGAAUAUGGACCUAUUGAGAUAGAUGUAAAAAUAGUAGAUAAAAUAAUUUCUAAGGUGAUAGUCGAUGAUGGAAGUAGCAUCAAUAUUGUGCUUGAAUCCACCGUGAUCAAAUUGGAAUUGAAAAUCACUCAUAAGGCAGUUAUGAACGUGAGACUAGCUGAUUGGAGACCUUCUCAAUCUUUAGGUCAAAUUUGAGACCUUUAUAUGCGAGCAAGAAGUGUAAAUUAUGUGGUAUUAUUUUAUGUCAUACGCUUAUAUGAAAAAAUGGAUGACUACCGUCUAUUGUUAGAAAGAGGAUGAUUGAAGCAAUCUAAAGGAGUAACAAAUUGGGGGCUUCUAAGCCUUAUUUUAUUUUUGGACCUUUAAAAAAUUGCACAAAAAUUAUAGUAUUUAGUCACUUUAGACUCCAAUCCUUGGCUCCAUUAGAAAAAACACCAAUAUCUAUAGGUGCCAAACAAAGUAAUUUUAUCCAAUCCAAUUCGACUUCAACAAUCAUACCAAUAAAAUGUAUUGGUCUUGGAUUGUAUGAAUAUGAAGAUGAGGGUGAUUUUGCCAAAUGGUUAGAAGAAAAUCCAUAUGAAGAUGAAGACAUCCAUAUUUGAUUUAUAGAAGUAAUUGAUUGAUUAGAACUUAAAGAUGAUUGUCCAGAUCUUACAAUCUUAGUUGAUGAUAUUUGUAUAAAUAAAGCUUUUAGUUUAAAAAUGGAUGGAACUCAAGUAGAUGAUUUGGAUACUAUUAUGAAAGAAAAAACCAUCAUGCCUUUUCCUUUAUAAUUCAAACAUACUCCACAAGGCAUUAAAGUUGAACAUGAUAUAUCGACUUAUCCAAUAGUACCUAAAGAUUCGUACCAUGGACCUACUGACUCCAUACAUGUGAUAGAACAAGAUUGGAUCAAAAUUCCAAUCAAUUGUGAUGAAGAAGAAUCCAAAUAUGUCAAAUUUGGAUUCCAAUUAGGUGAAAAAGAACUUAAGAAAUAUAAAUCAUUAGUAAUGAAAUAUCACAAUAUAUUUGUGUGGUCUUAUAAAGAUUUAAAAGAUAUUCUUCUUAGCAUUUAUCAAUACACUAUUCUACUUCUUUCAAAUACAACACCUAUUAGACAAAAACAUAGAAGACUCAAUCCUAGGAUGUAAUUCAUUGUGAAAACAGAAUUAAAAAAGCUACUUCAAGUGGGAUUUAUAAAGCCUAUGGAAAUUAUAGAUUGGUUGUUUUAUAUUAUCUUGGUAAAGAAAAAUGAAGAAAAUAAACUUAGGAUGUGUAUGGAUUAUCGGGAUCUAAAUAAGUACACUCAAAAAGACUAUUUUCUAUUACCUUUUAUGACUUUUAUAGUAGAUGAUGUGGCAAGUCAUGACAUCUAUAGUUUUAUGGAUGGCUACUUUAGUUACAAUCAAGUAUCAAUAGCUCCUGAAGAUUGGCAUAAGAUUGCAUUUACAUCACCUUAAGAAACCAUUGUAUAUGUAAUAAUGCCUUUCCGCUUGUGCAAUGCUUCUUUGGCUUUUCAGAGAGUCAUGACCUAUGCAUUCUCAGACCUUCUUUAAAAGACUUUUUCAAUUUUUAUUGAUGACUUUAGUUAUCAAUCUUCAAAAAAUGAUCGCCUUAUAAGCCUCCAAUUAUGCUUUCAAUGUUGUAGAAGAGUAGGAAUUUUUAUCAACCUAGACAAGGUUUAUUUGGCAAUUAAAAAAAGAGUUUUACUAAAUUAUGUCAUUUCUAAGAAGAAAAAAGAACAUGAUCCUGAAAAGGUAGAGGUUAUUGCAAAUCUACCACCUCUAAAUGGAAUAAAAGACAUUCAAAAUAUUUUAGGACAUAUGGAUUGGUAUCAUAAUUUGAUUGAAUCAUAUUCUAUUCAUGCUUUUCUAUUGACUAAUUUGUUAAAUAAGACCAUCAAAUUUGAAUGGACUUCCGAAUGCCAAAUUGGUUUUGAUGCAAUUAAAGCCAAAUUGCUUUUAUAUCCUUAUCUACUACCACCAAAUUGGCAUCAACCUUUUUAUAUCUAUUGUCAUGCCUCUAAAUUAGCAAUAGGUAGUGCCUUAUGCCAACUAGAUGAUAAGGAUGUAAUUCAUCCUAUUACUUUUGCUAGUAAACAAUUGACAAAUGUUGAAUACAACUAUAUAACUAGAGAACAAAAAUGUUUGGCUAUACUUUAUAGUAUCAAAAAAUUCCACCAUUAUCUUUUGUUGAACAAGGUUAUUUUCUUUGUAGAUCACAUGGCCCUUAGAUAUAUUGUAAACAAAUCAAAUUUAAGUGGCAGAUUAGUAAGGUGGAUAUUACUUCUAUCAGAAUUUGAUUAUACAAUGGUAUAUAAACUAAGAAAAUAACACAAAUAAGCCGAUUACCUUUCACAAUUAUCUACAACCAUUGAUAUCUAAGAUGUAGAUGAUGAACUUUCUGAUGCUCAUUUCUUCCAUGUUAUGAUGGCACCUACAUGAUAUAAACAUAUUGCUCAAUUUUUGAAUAGUCAAAAAUUAUCCAAUGUUCUAUUUAAAAAUGAAUGAUGGAAGAUUAGAGUAAAUAGUAUCCAUUUUGCUCUUCUGGCCAAGAAAUUAUAUCAUCAAGGAAUUGAUGGAAUUUUAAGAUGUUAUCUUACUUAUGAAGAAGUACCACUUGUAAUAGAAGCUUGUCAUUCAAGUACUUGUAGUGGACACAUCUCUAUUUAGUUAACAAUUCAAAAAAUUCUUAAAGUAGGCUAUUUUUAGCCUAUAAUGUUUAUCAAUUUAGAGUCUUAUGCAAGAUCUUGUGAUGCUUUCCAAAGAUAUGUAUGCAAUGAUUUAAAUCUUGUGAUGCCUUUAAAUCCCUCACUCCUACUUGUUCUAUUUGAAAAAUGGAGUAUAGAUUAUAUUGGACCGGUUUAUUCUGCAUCUUCACGUCAAAUGUAAUAUAUCAUUGUAGCUACAAAAUAUUUGACCAAAUGGGCAAAAAUAAAAGCUAUGAAGAAGGCGGAUGCUAAAUAAAAUGCUAUAUUCUUAUAUGAAAAUAUCAUAGCUCGUUUUGGUUGUCCAAAAAUCCUUAUGAGUGACAAUGGCAUUUUUUUUAAAAUGAAGCUAUUAAAGAAAUGACUACAUUAUUUACCAUCAAUCAUAAGAAGACUACUCCCUAUCAUCUUCAAAUAAAUGGUCUUACAAAAAGAAUUAACAAAAACUUAGUUUGGAUAUUGAGAAAAAUUGUAAUGGAUUUUAAGUAUGAUUAGGAUCUUAAACUUACUUCAAUACUUAGGGCUUACCAAACUACUUACAAGGUUUCUACAAGAGCUACAUCUUUUUCUUUGGUGUAUGGAAUAGAAGCCAUUUUUCCAAUAGAAUUUGAAGUCCCAUCCUUACGCAUUGCUAUUGAUGAAAGAUUGAAUACUUUUUAAUCUUUGAAAGAGGGAUUAAAGCAUCUAAAAAGACUCAGUGAGAUUUAAAGAUUUGUAAUUCAACAAAUAGAAACAACUCAAAGGAGAAGGAAGGAGAUCUUUGAUAAAAAGAUAAAAAAAAUGUCUUCUCAUUCCGAAAAUGUGGAUGAUGGUUCAAGAUGCUAGGAAACUAGAAUUUUUAGUCAAAUUUGAUGCACUUUGGACCAAACCCUAUAUUAUCAAAGAAAUCUUUGAUAAUAAUUCAAUUCAACUUAAAACAUUAGAUAGAAAAGAUUUUCCUACACGAACUAAUGGAAGUCAUUGUAAGGAAUAUAUAGUGUGAAUAUUGGCUCCAAUACCAAUAUACAUUGUCAUUUUUCUUUUAUAAUAGUUCUAAGUCAAAUCUAUAGAUUAUUAUCUCUUAGUAUACUUUGAUUGCUUGGCUCAAGGCACAAGCGGCGAGUAUGCUUAAGUAUUUUUUCUUGAAUCAUGGACAUCUUCCAUGUGGUCUAUAGAACUCGAUUUUAUCGUUAUAAAUUACAAUCAUGUAGUCUUAGUUCAAAUCUCAAUAGAAAUAUAGUACUAUUAAAACUUAAAGUAGUAUCUGAGCUAGAAUUUGCUAUACUUAGAAAUAUAUUGAGUUUAAACCAAAUGAUUAUCUUUUUUUAUCUCUAGGUCAAUAUUUUAAUAAUUUUACUUAUAUUCCACUUCUUCUAAUAGAUGACAAUGUCUUUUUUGAUAAUAUUUUAUAUUUUAUUUUAUUUUAAUUUUCUAUAUUUUUCAUAGACUGUAUCAAAUGUAAGAGUUGGAUUUUCUCUAUUUUUACAAAUAAUCCCAAAUAGUCGCCAUCAAUGGAUCUUAAUUUGUGGAUUAAUUAAAAAUAUAGUAUUGAGACACUUAAUAAGAUAAAUAUUAAGGUUAAAGAUUCUUUUUGAUUAUUUAUAUAUUUAUUAGAAUUUAGAAGUAUUUAUAAGUAUAAAAGUCUUUUUAGAAGAAAAGUUACAAAAAUAAAGUCUUAAUAAGUCUUGGAGACAAUUAUCUUAGUUGGUGUAGUAUUUCCACUCAUUAUUGAAUAUUAAUGAUUAGUAAUUGAGAUCAAUGUCUUCAUUGGCUUUCUAUCUAUAUGUAUUACUUAUGAAAUCCUAUCAAUGAUUAGUUAAUGGUUAGAAGAAGCAUGAAAAAGAACUUCAUGUCUUUUUAGUUAAUUAUAUAAAAAAUAAUAUUUUUAGUGGAUUUAAAUUAAUUUUAUUACUAUAAAAAAUCACCAAGAUAAAAAAAUACAGCCUUAUAUGAAUAUUAGAAUUAUAUAAAUAUUAAAAUAUUUUUUAUAAUUUAUAUAGAAUUUAUUUAGGAUUUUUUAUGAAUUUUUAGAGAAAAUUUUAAGACCAUGGUAAAAUUGAGUUUUUCCACCUUGAGAGCCGUUAUGAAGAAAUGAAGCAAGAUUUGAAGACUAUACAAGGUUUCUACACUAAUUGGGUGUUUUUGAACACCUUGGUGAAGUCAAAAAUACAAAAAAAGUAGUUUUACUAGUGGAAAAUAGGAGGACCAACAGCUAGUGUAGUCCUUAUAGGAAGAAAGGUGCACAAUUCCCAUAUAUUCCCAAGGGUUGUAGCACCUCUCCUCCUACAAGGACUACCUAUACAAGGGUAUAGGUAGGAAGAUAAGACUAAGGCCUGAAGGCCUCUUUAGACAACCAAUAUACACUACUUUUGAGCCUUCGAGAGGCUCGAAUUCUUGAUUUCUUAAGCAAGUUAUCCUUGAGGUAAAAAUUACUCACUUAACUUUUCUAUUAUGUACAUCCUAUAUUUAAUCUAUCAUAACUUAUUCAUAGUAACUUAGAAUUACAUGAUUUUUAUGUCAUUGGAAAGAUAAAAAAAUUAUCUAUCUAAAUAUAUAAAAUUUUUUUUAACUUUUUUCUGGAUGAAAAUCUAGUGAAAAGAUUGUGACUAGUUUUAUAGUAUACAAUUGCUUGAUUGCACUUGUUUACUUGUUUUGUAUUGUUCUUCUUUUGUUCUUGUUUAUUACUACUUCUACUUCACACCACCAAUUACAAGCAAUUCUUAAUUGAGGCAAUCUUGUAAUUUGGAGUGAGGGAGAAAUUUAUCCUCGCAUACUUGUUAUUUAAAUAUAAUAUAAUUAUAAAGUAGCUUAUCUUGUCAACAAUAAAAAUUGUAGCUAAUAUAGUACCAUUUGAGAACCUUCACAUCAAUGUGGUUCCUUACACAAAUACCUCGCAAUAAUAAACAUCAUCUUAGAACAUACUUGCCUUACCAUCUCAUAUUCACGUAUUUUUGUUUCUUUGUCUUCUUAUUUUUUGUUUCUUUCUCUAGUGUUUUUUUCUUCCUCAACAAUGACAUUUUGUCUUCUUAUGUAAAAUUUUCUACCGCAUCUAAGAUAUAUGUAUGGAUCAUCAUCCAAGACAAUAAGUGGGUUGAUAGUGUAGUUUUAAAAAGCUAUUAUCGCUAGCCCUUAUCUAUCAUAAAUAAAAAGAGGUAUCAUUCUUGUACUACCAUCGAUCAUUUCCUCUCAAUAGAUAUAAUUGAUCAUUGACAUUAUGUUACCAUUUUUGGAUGUAUAUCAUCCUAGAGGUUGAUCAAGAAUAUCAAAAAAAAAAAAAAAAAAAAAAAAAAAUGAUACUAAAUACAAGGGCCUAUAAGAAUAAUAUAACAAGGAAUCCAAGUAGAAGAAAUCAUUUGCCAAUAUUGAUGUCCAUACCAUUGUGGUUGAUUCAUGGUACCAUAAUCUAUAUAAAAUAGUUUAAAAAUAAUAAUUUAGAAAAUUUGGUUGUAAUAUUAAAUCCUAGACUAUAUAAUACAUAAGUUGGUUAUAUUGGCCAAUAAAGAAACUACAAGGUGACAAUGUUAUAAAGACUUUAUCUAAGAUACAAAUCAUGCAUAUUACAAGCUCAUUACAAUAUUAUAAAUAUAGAUCAAUCAAUUAAACUAAGAUAUAGUCCAACUAUGCUAUAUUCUAUUGAUAUCCACAAGCAUUUAAGACAUAAGAAAUGCAUUGCACGAGAUAAAAAAACAUGUGGUGUCGGCUCAAAGAAAAAAUAUCAUGCGAUUUACAAAGAAUAAGAGUCAUAAUAGAAAGCAACUUACAUAAGCUAUGGAACAAAAUUCAAGUGAUACAAUAAAAACAAAAGAUCCUCAAAGUCCUAAAAAAUAUUAUGCAAAUUUGAAUCAAAGAAAUGAAAGCUCUCAACUUUAUAUUCUAAAAAAUUCAAGUGACAUCAAUAUUUGCAAUCAAUGGGCUACAAUUGCAUCUCAAAGGUGCAACAUAAAGAAUGAAGAUAACAAGUAAGAAGCAUCUACUUCUAUUAGCAAAAUAAGAUUAUGAUAUACAUAUCCUAAUUUAGAUCAAUCUAAUAAUGACAAGAGAAUAUUUACUACUUAAUGCACCAUUAGUUAUUUUAAUAAUCUCACAUCCCUAGCAAUUAGAAAAAGAUAUAAAUUCACCUCACAUAUUUUUUUCAUGCACAUCUAAUUACGAUAAGCAAUUGUAUGUCCUUGAUAGUGCAUUGGACCACAAGUUUGUCUGACUUGAUGCUUGUGGCUAUUGAAUAAUGCUAGUGGUAUAGUAUGAGGUAUAAUUUAUAAAUCUAAUCACUAAGCACAAGUUUAAUAACAACAAUGCAUACAAUAGCAACUUAGAUGGCAAGAUUGAUAAUAUAAAUGAAACAAAAUGCAUAAUCUUGAAUUAUUUUGCUAAACAUCCAUAUUUCAAAGAAAAAAUAUUCCAACCACACUAAUAUGGUGGAUUCUUUGGUCUAUGCAAAAUGUAUAUGCAACUUAAUUUUUUGAUGUUGUCAUGAUGUAACACGACUAAUAGGUGAAAGAGUAUGGAAACUAUUGUAAUUUAAGAGAUCUUAGUUCAAAGUAUUAGAAUAAGUUAUCUUAGAAAUAUAGUUAAUAGUCAAAGGGGUAGAAAAAUUAAAAGGUACCAAUGCUACCUAUUAGAAAUGUGACUUCUACUUACUUUGUAGCACCAUAAGUAAGGAAAAAUAAGGUAGAUUGGAAAAUAAUGAUACAGACAUCUUUAGGAGGAAGUUAAAAGUAAAUUCUAGAAAAAAAUACUUAAAAAAACUAGAUAUUGAUACCCAAAGAGGGCCGGUUAUGAAUCAGGGUCAAAAUCAGACCCUAAGGCACAAAAUUGAGUCUCGACGAUGACUCCAGGGUUCUUUUGAAGAUUGGAGAGUGAGGUUUGAUAGCACACUAAAUAGGCUUUCUAUGAGCAUUGAUUUUUGGUGAUUUGGAGUUGAUAUGAAUUUGUAAGAGCUUUGCAAAGUCAAGGUUUGUUUUGGAUGACUUGGGUUUUAUGAAAUAUAAUAGGAUUUAUGUUUUGGAUGUUUUCAAGAGUUUUGUAAUAGAUCUAUGGGUGAAAUUUUGUAGGUUUAUGGUUAUAAUUGUGUUUAAUAUGUGACAUAAAUUUGAGCUUGAUCUAACGGUUGAAUUGAGGGAUAUUAAGGUUUAAGUGGAUCAAGGUCUUAGAAAGUAGAAUUUUAGGUCUAGUGGGGGUUUUUGGGAUUUCUUGCAAUCAACUAGUUGGAUUGGAGUGAAACUUGCGUGAGAGGAUAUUAGACUUGUUUUUCUAUGUAUAUGAGAAUUUUGAGAUCAAUCGAAUGGUGCAAAAGAGAGAUAUUGGCUCUAGAAGAUUGGCAUCAAGAUUGGAGAAAGAGGCCGGCCAAUACCUGAGCACAUUUUUGAGGUUGUCGUCAAUUUGGUAAUUCCGAUCCUUUUCAAUUUUCUUGUGCUUGUUUUUAACUUAUUUUUUUAGAAGUAUGAAAAAUUUGAGUUAAGAUCAACGGUUUAUUCAUUAGUAAUUGAGGUUUAAAUAUGUUAUAGGAAUUAUUAGGGCUUGAUUUAGGGUUUGGUUAGGGUUUGAUUUAGGAUUUAGGGUUUGGUUCGGAUUUGGUUUAGGGUUUAGGGUUUGGAUUAUGGUUUGAUUAGGGUUUGAUUUAGGAUUUAGGAUUUGGAUUAGGGUUUGGUUUGGGUUUGAUUUAGGAUUUAGGAUAUGGUUUAGGAUUUGGUUAGGAUUUGGUUUAGGAUUUGGUUGGGAUUUGGUUUAAGGUUUUUUUAGGGUUUGAUUUAGGAUUUAGGAUUUUAUUAGGAUUUAAGAUUCAGUUAUUUUUGGCCUAAAGUUUGAAUGAAGUUCAAUAGGAUUUUAACUAGAAUUAAAUUAAGAUUGAAUUGAGAUGUAUUUGAGUGAUAUUUGUGUUCUUUCUAAUGUUUCUUUAAGAAUUCUUAUUUUUUGUUUGAAAUUUCUUUGAGGUUUUUUUGAAUUUGAUUAAGCUUGCUUAGCAUUAUUAUGGUCUAAUUAGAGCAUUGUUAGUAUUCUAUUAGAAUUAGGAUUUUGUUAUUGCAAUUUCCAUUGUUCCUUCCAUAGCCAGAUACUCGGAGCAUUCUCAAGCAAGACUUCACGAAUUACGACAACGUCUAUCAAUAUGUAUCAAAAAU
Molecule: long non-coding RNA, 29404 nt
Filed under: Physcomitrium patens
Lineage: Eukaryota; Viridiplantae; Streptophyta; Bryopsida; Funariales; Funariaceae
Description: long non-coding RNA (PPAT_LNC007074)
Source: RNAcentral